CUCGGAUUGUCAUUUCUUCUUGCCUUGCAAACAUUUGGGAACAAGUAAAAACAUAAAACUAUAUCAAGGAGAAUCCACGUUAACUUUUUGUAACUUGGCCCAUCUUUACCUACUAAAUUAUCUGAGCAUCCUGUUCGAAAUUUCUUGUAUUGUAAUUGUAUCUUCUUAAUCAUGGCUGAACAUCAUGAAGUGUUUCUGGC
This 200-nucleotide unclassified non-coding RNA is filed under the name Hevea brasiliensis (rubber tree). Lineage: Eukaryota; Viridiplantae; Streptophyta; Magnoliopsida; Malpighiales; Euphorbiaceae. The record is from RNAcentral.